This 996-nucleotide ribosomal RNA is filed under the name Triticum aestivum (bread wheat). RNAcentral's name for it is "partial small subunit ribosomal RNA". Lineage: Eukaryota; Viridiplantae; Streptophyta; Magnoliopsida; Poales; Poaceae. The record is from RNAcentral.
AUGAAGGGGCGGUUGGGAGCUCUAAGAGGUUCUACGGCUGCUUGUGCAGAUAGUCCUACUACACCCAAGAAUCCCAUUGUGGAAUUGAUAGACAACGAUGAUGAUGUGUUUGACAAGAUUGCUGGCGUUGGCAGAGUCACGAGGAGCGCUGUUGCCAAAGGUUUAUCUCCCCUUGCUGGAAUAAUGGCUCGUAGAGCUGGUGGUGCUAUGAAAGAUCCCGCUUUGGAUUCUGGCAAUGUUGUAAGCACGAAGCGUGCGCCCAGAGCUCCUAUAAAGUUUUGCUCCCCUGUGCAGCAGCUUCACCCUUAUAAAUUCUCUCACCUGGACAAGGCUCGCAGGUUGUAUAAUCUGUUGCUUAGUGAUGAAUGGCGUGAGAAGUAUGUCGAGAAUACAUUCUCAAUGAUACCUCAUCCUGAUGAUAACGUAACUAGCUUCACUGGCAAACGCAUCUGGGAAGUUUUUGCACCUGGGCAAAUGAUGGAGGGUGAUGUAAUGGACUUCCUUAUUGAUGAUUGGAAGCAAGAUCCCUAUAGAAAUGCUGAUUUCGCAUUUGGGAAAAGGAUAUUGCUGAGUCCAUAUUUCAUCACGGUUGUGCUUGACUGUUCGUUUUACGAGGAUGAAAAUAAAGUGUUUAAUGUGGAGAGUGCAGCGAGAGAUUUCAAGAGCUAUGUUAAAGCUAAUGAAGACUUGCUCAGUGCCGACCUUAUCAUGAUGCCUCUAUUCAAGCCUAUGGUUUUAUCAAAGGAUAGGAAAGUAAACCACUAUUCCUUAUAUGUCAUGAAUCGAUACCGAAGUAGCGUUGACAUCCUUGACUCUUUACCUUAUCCGAAGAACCACCAUCCUUCGAAGAACACCUAUCACAAAGACUGCGAGAAGAUUCCACGCAUUGUUGAUUGGAACGCUGAGGAUCUGUAUAGAGUUGUGUUCAACCGGAAUAACAAUCUUCUGGUGACGGAGCUUCCCAAGGAGGUUCAGGCUUUGGCUCCUGAUGCAUAG